GCUUGCUGUGACAGUGCAUAUACUAAAAUUGGAAUGAUAUAGAGAUUAGCAUAACUCCUGCAUAAGGAUGAUAUGCAAAUUUAUGAAGCUUCUUAAGUGUAA
Gorilla gorilla gorilla (western lowland gorilla) is the source of this 102-nucleotide non-coding RNA. Lineage: Eukaryota; Metazoa; Chordata; Mammalia; Primates; Hominidae. The record is from Rfam.